This 253-nucleotide ribosomal RNA is filed under the name uncultured bacterium. Its description in RNAcentral is "partial 16S ribosomal RNA". It matches the Rfam family "Bacterial small subunit ribosomal RNA", at positions 524 to 776 of the family's 1533-position model. The record is from RNAcentral.
CACGUAGGGCGCAAGCGUUGUCCGGAAUUAUUGGGCGUAAAGAGCUCGUAGGCGGUCUGUUGCGUCCGCUGUGAAAACUCGGGGCUUAACCCCGAGCCUGCAGUGGAUACGGGCAGACUAGAGGUAGGUAGGGGAGAAUGGAAUUCCCGGUGUAGCGGUGAAAUGCGCAGAUAUCGGGAGGAACACCGGUAGCGAAGGCGGUUCUCUGGGCCUUACCUGACGCUGAGGAGCGAAAGCGUGGGGAGCGAACAGG